GGCGGCGUGCUUAACACAUGCAAGUCGAACGGAAAGGCCCUGCUUUUGUGGGGUGCUCGAGUGGCGAACGGGUGAGUAACACGUGAGUAACCUGCCCUUGACUUUGGGAUAACUUCAGGAAACUGGGGCUAAUACCGGAUAGGAGCUCCUGCUGCAUGGUGGGGGUUGGAAAGUUUCGGCGGUUGGGGAUGGACUCGCGGCUUAUCAGCUUGUUGGUGGGGUAGUGGCUUACCAAGGCUUUGACGGGUAGCCGGCCUGAGAGGGUGACCGGCCACAUUGGGACUGAGAUACGGCCCAGACUCCUACGGGAGGCAGCAGUGGGGAAUAUUGCACAAUGGGCGGAAGCCUGAUGCAGCAACGCCGCGUGCGGGAUGACGGCCUUCGGGUUGUAAACCGCUUUCGCCUGUGACGAAGCGUGAGUGACGGUAAUGGGUAAAGAAGCACCGGCUAACUACGUGCCAGCAGCCGCGGUGAUACGUAGGGUGCGAGCGUUGUCCGGAUUUAUUGGGCGUAAAGGGCUCGUAGGUGGUUGAUCGCGUCGGAAGUGUAAUCUUGGGGCUUAACCCUGAGCGUGCUUUCGAUACGGGUUGACUUGAGGAAGGUAGGGGAGAAUGGAAUUCCUGGUGGAGCGGUGGAAUGCGCAGAUAUCAGGAGGAACACCAGUGGCGAAGGCGGUUCUCUGGGCCUUUCCUGACGCUGAGGAGCGAAAGCGUGGGGAGCGAACAGGCUUAGAUACCCUGGUAGUCCACGCUGUAAACGGUGGGUACUAGGUGUGGGGUCCAUUCCACGGGUUCCGUGCCGUAGCUAACGCUUUAAGUACCCCGCCUGGGGAGUACGGCCGCAAGGCUAAAACUCAAAGGAAUUGACGGGGCCCCGCACAAGCGGCGGAGCAUGCGGAUUAAUUCGAUGCAACGCGUAGAACCUUACCUGGGUUUGACAUGGAUCGGGAGUGCUCAGAGAUGGGUGUGCCUCUUUUGGGGUCGGUUCACAGGUGGUGCAUGGCUGUCGUCAGCUCGUGUCGUGAGAUGUUGGGUUAAGUCCCGCAACGAGCGCAACCCUUGUUCACUGUUGCCAGCACGUUAUGGUGGGGACUCAGUGGAGACCGCCGGGGUCAACUCGGAGGAAGGUGGGGAUGACGUCAAGUCAUCAUGCCCCUUAUGUCCAGGGCUUCACGCAUGCUACAAUGGCUGGUACAGAGAGUGGCGAGCCUGUGAGGGUGAGCGAAUCUCGGAAAGCCGGUCUCAGUUCGGAUUGGGGUCUGCAACUCGACCUCAUGAAGUCGGAGUCGCUAGUAAUCGCAGAUCAGCAACGCUGCGGUGAAUACGUUCCCGGGGCUUGUACACACCGCCCGUCAAGUCAUGAAAGUUGGUAACACCCGAAGCCGGUGGCCUAACCGUUGUGGGGGAGCCGUCGAAGGUGGGACUGGUGAUUAGGACUAAG
This 1440-nucleotide ribosomal RNA is filed under the name uncultured organism. Its description in RNAcentral is "16S ribosomal RNA". It matches the Rfam family "Bacterial small subunit ribosomal RNA". The record is from RNAcentral.